Molecule: ribosomal RNA, 496 nt
Filed under: Anaplasma platys
Lineage: Bacteria; Pseudomonadati; Pseudomonadota; Alphaproteobacteria; Rickettsiales; Anaplasmataceae
Description: bacterial SSU rRNA
Rfam family: Bacterial small subunit ribosomal RNA
Source: RNAcentral
AUGAUAAAAGUUAGUGGCAGACGGGUGAGUAAUGCAUAGGAAUCUACCUAGUAGUAUGGGAUAGCCACUAGAAAUGGUGGGUAAUACUGUAUAAUCCCUGCGGGGGAAAGAUUUAUCGCUAUUAGAUGAGCCUAUGUUAGAUUAGCUAGUUGGUAGGGUAAAGGCCUACCAAGGCAGUGAUCUAUAGCUGGUCUGAGAGGAUGAUCAGCCACACUGGAACUGAGAUACGGUCCAGACUCCUACGGGAGGCAGCAGUGGGGAAUAUUGGACAAUGGGCGCAAGCCUGAUCCAGCUAUGCCGCGUGAGUGAGGAAGGCCUUAGGGUUGUAAAACUCUUUCAGUGGGGAAGAUAAUGACGGUACCCACAGAAGAAGUCCCGGCAAACUCCGUGCCAGCAGCCGCGGUAAUACGGAGGGGGCAAGCGUUGUUCGGAAUUAUUGGGCGUAAAGGGCAUGUAGGCGGUUCGGUAAGUUAAAGGUGAAAUGCCAGGGCUUAAC